Molecule: ribosomal RNA, 252 nt
Filed under: uncultured bacterium
Lineage: Bacteria
Description: partial 16S ribosomal RNA
Rfam family: Bacterial small subunit ribosomal RNA
Source: RNAcentral
UACGGAGGAUGCGAGCGUUAUCCGGAUUUAUUGGGUUUAAAGGGUGCGUAGGCGGGAUGCCAAGUCAGCGGUAAAAAUGCGGUGCUCAACGCCGUCGAGCCGUUGAGACUGGCGUUCUUGAGUGGGCGAGAAGUAUGCGGAAUGCGUGGUGUAGCGGUGAAAUGCAUAGAUAUCACGCAGAACUCCGAUUGCGAAGGCAGCAUACCGGCGCCCUACUGACGCUGAGGCACGAAAGCGUGGGUAUCGAACAGG